AAAUUGAAGAGUUUGAUCAUGGCUCAGAUUGAACGCUGGCGGCAGGCCUAACACAUGCAAGUCGAACGGUAGCACAGAGAGCUUGCUCUCGGGUGACGAGUGGCGGACGGGUGAGUAAUGUCUGGGAAACUGCCUGAUGGAGGGGGAUAACUACUGGAAACGGUAGCUAAUACCGCAUAACGUCGCAAGACCAAAGAGGGGGACCUUCGGGCCUCUUGCCAUCAGAUGUGCCCAGAUGGGAUUAGCUAGUAGGUGGGGUAACGGCUCACCUAGGCGACGAUCCCUAGCUGGUCUGAGAGGAUGACCAGCCACACUGGAACUGAGACACGGUCCAGACUCCUACGGGAGGCAGCAGUGGGGAAUAUUGCACAAUGGGCGCAAGCCUGAUGCAGCCAUGCCGCGUGUAUGAAGAAGGCCUUCGGGUUGUAAAGUACUUUCAGCGGGGAGGAAGGUGUUGUGGUUAAUAACCGCAGCAAUUGACGUUACCCGCAGAAGAAGCACCGGCUAACUCCGUGCCAGCAGCCGCGGUAAUACGGAGGGUGCAAGCGUUAAUCGGAAUUACUGGGCGUAAAGCGCACGCAGGCGGUCUGUCAAGUCGGAUGUGAAAUCCCCGGGCUCAACCUGGGAACUGCAUUCGAAACUGGCAGGCUAGAGUCUUGUAGAGGGGGGUAGAAUUCCAGGUGUAGCGGUGAAAUGCGUAGAGAUCUGGAGGAAUACCGGUGGCGAAGGCGGCCCCCUGGACAAAGACUGACGCUCAGGUGCGAAAGCGUGGGGAGCAAACAGGAUUAGAUACCCUGGUAGUCCACGCCGUAAACGAUGUCGAUUUGGAGGUUGUGCCCUUGAGGCGUGGCUUCCGGAGCUAACGCGUUAAAUCGACCGCCUGGGGAGUACGGCCGCAAGGUUAAAACUCAAAUGAAUUGACGGGGGCCCGCACAAGCGGUGGAGCAUGUGGUUUAAUUCGAUGCAACGCGAAGAACCUUACCUGGUCUUGACAUCCACAGAACUUUCCAGAGAUGGAUUGGUGCCUUCGGGAACUGUGAGACAGGUGCUGCAUGGCUGUCGUCAGCUCGUGUUGUGAAAUGUUGGGUUAAGUCCCGCAACGAGCGCAACCCUUAUCCUUUGUUGCCAGCGGUCCGGCCGGGAACUCAAAGGAGACUGCCAGUGAUAAACUGGAGGAAGGUGGGGAUGACGUCAAGUCAUCAUGGCCCUUACGACCAGGGCUACACACGUGCUACAAUGGCGCAUACAAAGAGAAGCGACCUCGCGAGAGCAAGCGGACCUCAUAAAGUGCGUCGUAGUCCGGAUUGGAGUCUGCAACUCGACUCCAUGAAGUCGGAAUCGCUAGUAAUCGUAGAUCAGAAUGCUACGGUGAAUACGUUCCCGGGCCUUGUACACACCGCCCGUCACACCAUGGGAGUGGGUUGCAAAAGAAGUAGGUAGCUUAACCUUCGGGAGGGCGCUUACCACUUUGUGAUUCAUGACUGGGGUGAAGUCGUAACAAGGUAACCGUAGGGGAACCUGCGGUUGGAUCACCUCCUUA
Molecule: ribosomal RNA, 1540 nt
Filed under: Enterobacter cloacae
Lineage: Bacteria; Pseudomonadati; Pseudomonadota; Gammaproteobacteria; Enterobacterales; Enterobacteriaceae
Description: bacterial SSU rRNA
Rfam family: Bacterial small subunit ribosomal RNA
Source: RNAcentral